CAGCCGCCGCGGUAAUACCGGCGGCCCGAGUGGCGGUCACUAUUAUUGGGCUUAAAGCGUCCGUAGCCGGGUUGGGAAGUCCUCCGGGAAAUCUGGCCGCUUAAAGGGCAGAAUGCCGGAGGAUACUCCCCGCCUAGGGAGCGGGAGAGGCCGAGGGGAUUCCCGGGGUAGGGGUGAAAUCCUAUAAUCCCGGGAGGACCACCUGUGGCGAAGGCGCUCGGCUGGAACGCGUCCGACGGGGAGGGACGAAGGCCAGGGGAGCAAACCGGAUUAGAUACCCGGGUAGUCCUGGCUGUAAACGAUGCGGACUUUGUGUCGGACAAGCUAUGAGCUUGUCCGGUGCCGGAGGGAAACCGUUAAGUCCGCCGCCUGGGGAGUACGGCCGCAAGGCUGAAACUUAAAGGAAUUGGCGGG
RNAcentral lists this ribosomal RNA (414 nucleotides) under uncultured microorganism. RNAcentral's name for it is "bacterial SSU rRNA". It matches the Rfam family "Archaeal small subunit ribosomal RNA", at positions 459 to 872 of the family's 1478-position model. The record is from RNAcentral.